Molecule: ribosomal RNA, 542 nt
Filed under: uncultured bacterium
Lineage: Bacteria
Description: bacterial SSU rRNA
Rfam family: Bacterial small subunit ribosomal RNA
Source: RNAcentral
AGUAAAUAGAUACCCGGGUAGUCCACGCCGUAAACGAUGAAUACUAGGUGUAGGGGUUGUCAUGACCUCUGUGCCGCCGCUAAACGCAUUAAGUAUUCCGCCUGGGGAGUACGGUCGCAAGAUUAAAACUCAAAGGAAUUGACGGGGGCCCGCACAAGCAGCGGAGCAUGUGGUUUAAAUUCGAAGCAACGCGAAGAACCUUACCUAGACUUGACAUCUCCUGAAUUACUCUGUAAUGGAGGAAGCCACUUCGGUGGCAGGAAGACAGGUGGUGCAUGGUUGUCGUCAGCUCGUGUCGUGAGAUGUUGGGUUAAGUCCCGCAACGAGCGCAACCCUUAUUGUUAGUUGCUACCAUUUAGUUGAGCACUCUAGCGAGACUGCCCGGGUUAACCGGGAGGAAGGUGGGGAUGACGUCAAAUCAUCAUGCCCCUUAUGUCUAGGGCUACACACGUGCUACAAUGGUCGGUACAAUGAGAUGCAACCUCGCGAGAGUGAGCAAAACCUAUAAAACCCGGAUCUCAGUUCGGAUUGUAGGCUGAAAC